UGCAGAUAUGCUCUAUUGGUUGGGGCGGUGCUCUGUAAAAGCAUUGGUUAUAUGCCGUGGUGAGUUCGAAUCUCACAUCUGCAA
This 84-nucleotide transfer RNA is filed under the name Mycosarcoma maydis (corn smut). Its description in RNAcentral is "Ustilago maydis tRNA-Tyr". It matches the Rfam family "tRNA". From Rfam's summary of the family: Transfer RNA (tRNA) molecules are approximately 80 nucleotides in length. Their secondary structure includes four short double-helical elements and three loops (D, anti-codon, and T loops). Further hydrogen bonds mediate the characteristic L-shaped molecular structure. tRNAs have two regions of fundamental functional importance: the anti-codon, which is responsible for specific mRNA codon recognition, and the 3' end, to which the tRNAs corresponding amino acid is attached (by aminoacyl-tRNA synthetases). tRNAs cope with the degeneracy of the genetic code in two manners: having more than one tRNA (with a specific anti-codon) for a particular amino acid; and 'wobble' base-pairing, i.e. permitting non-standard base-pairing at the 3rd anti-codon position. The record is from RNAcentral. Lineage: Eukaryota; Fungi; Basidiomycota; Ustilaginomycetes; Ustilaginales.